ACUUAAUCUCCAAUUUCUCUAAUUUUCUCUCUUAAGUGUAAGUCUUAUUCUCGUGAGGAGCGGAGUUCGUGGGCUAGGUGCGCGCCAAGUAAGAAUCUACUCGGCACCCAACAAAUUCUCGUGGUCAUCGGAGGUCGUGGGUUAGGAGCGG
This is a long non-coding RNA of Trifolium pratense (red clover), 151 nucleotides long. RefSeq lists it as uncharacterized. The transcript is spliced from 3 exons. The record is from RefSeq and is a predicted model, not a curated record. NCBI's taxonomy places the organism in Eukaryota, Viridiplantae, Streptophyta, Magnoliopsida, Fabales, Fabaceae.